This 489-nucleotide ribosomal RNA is filed under the name uncultured bacterium. Its description in RNAcentral is "partial 16S ribosomal RNA". It matches the Rfam family "Bacterial small subunit ribosomal RNA", at positions 30 to 507 of the family's 1533-position model. The record is from RNAcentral.
AUUGAACGCUGGCGGCAGGCUUAACACAUGCAAGUCGAGCGGUAGCACAGGGGAGCUUGCUCCCUGGGUGACGAGCGGCGGACGGGUGAGUAAUGUCUGGGAAACUGCCUGAUGGAGGGGGAUAACUACUGGAAACGGUAGCUAAUACCGCAUAACGUCGCAAGACCAAAGAGGGGGACCUUCGGGCCUCUUGCCAUCAGAUGUGCCCAGAUGGGAUUAGCUAGUAGGUGGGGUAAUGGCUCACCUAGGCGACGAUCCCUAGCUGGUCUGAGAGGAUGACCAGCCACACUGGAACUGAGACACGGUCCAGACUCCUACGGGAGGCAGCAGUGGGGAAUAUUGCACAAUGGGCGCAAGCCUGAUGCAGCCAUGCCGCGUGUGUGAAGAAGGCCUUCGGGUUGUAAAGCACUUUCAGCGAGGAGGAAGGUGGUGAGCUUAAUACGUUCAUCAAUUGACGUACUCGCAGAAGAAGCACCGGCUAACUCCGUG